UUUGGAUGCCGCAUCGAAUCUA
RNAcentral lists this non-coding RNA (22 nucleotides) under Arabidopsis thaliana (thale cress). Lineage: Eukaryota; Viridiplantae; Streptophyta; Magnoliopsida; Brassicales; Brassicaceae. The record is from RNAcentral.